AAAAGAUUCUUUUUACUUAAAAAAAAAAAAGAGGUUUUUAACAUAUUAAACAAAGAAAAAAUAUAUAACUGUUUUCACACAUGCCCUUGUGCAGAAUUCAGUAAAUAACUUAUAUGUGAAAAGGCGUGUUCCUAAUGUGUAAUUUGGAAGAUGACUUGUGCAAAUGUUAUAUGGUCCUAGUUGUUUAAUUAUGUAAUCAACUAUCUGUGGUUGCCGCAGUUACGUUAAUGGUUUACUUAAUUUGUGAAGUUCAGCUGAUCUUUUUUGUUGCUGAGUGGAAGGGUUGAAUCUGUUUGAGUUGUGACUUCUUCUAUGACUCUGGUAUUUAAAAUCUCCAGUUUCCAAGAUUGAACAUUCAAAUAACACUCCAUAUCACCUGACUAUAAUGAACUCAUUAUCCCAAAAAUACAUCCAUCACUUGGGAAUAUAUUAUGAACAACAGUAAAAUAUUCUUGAGAUUUUUGAUAGAAGUUAUCUACAUUAACUGCUUUCUAUUCUAAGAACCCUGAAAAUUUUGAUUUGACUAGGAUUUUCCAAUAUUAAGAUCUGCCCCAUAAAUAUAUGGAAAAUGAUACAUCCUCCUAAGUCAUUUUAAUAAAUAGCCUCCUAAUUUCUACAAGGAAAAUAUGGUGUGCUUAGGUUCAUUGAUGCAUAAUUGUAUCAAUAGAUGUCCUUAAAUAUCUUGGUUUAGCUAUAUUCUUUUCAAAAUUUCCAUGGCAGAUUCCUGCAUUCCCAAGCUUUGCAGUACCUGAUCGACCCCGAGAGAUUCAAAUGGAAGCAGCUUAUUUUUGUUAGUCAAGGUAUGAAGUGCCCUGUACUAGUGGGAUUUCUUGAGGCUGAAUAUGCCAAGUACAGGUAAUAAGGAUCCAUCAGCUGCCUUCAAUGAAGAUUUUUGUUAACAGAGAUAACAGAAUAUUGCAAAUGAUUCAAUUGUAGAUGAUUAUUGUGAGAUUUUUGCUAUUCACUUUUUAUUAUUUCCUUUCCUUUGAAAUUCCUUGAAAAAAUUUAUUACAUUGACAAGAUCAAGUUGGGCGAAACCUCUUGUGCAGCAACCCACCUUGUUUGCUUCUGGUUUUAUUUUGGACUACUAGACACCUUACCUAUUUAAUCUUGGUCGAGUCGGAGAAAAUUAGUUGGGACUCCUAGUUCAUCCCAAUCAUUACUCUACAAAUAAUUUGAAGUUAUCCCCAUCUGAGCCACUCUCUCUUUCCUCAACCUCAAGAUUUCUUAAAAUUGAUAUCUGGUGGCACACAU
Arachis ipaensis is the source of this 1254-nucleotide non-coding RNA. The record is from RefSeq and is a predicted model, not a curated record. Lineage: Eukaryota; Viridiplantae; Streptophyta; Magnoliopsida; Fabales; Fabaceae.